GAUGAACGCUGGCGGCGUGCCUAAUACAUGCAAGUCGAGCGAACAGACGCGGAGCUUGCUCCUCUGACGUUAGCGGCGGACGGGUGAGUAACACGUGGAUAACCUACCUGUAAGACUGGGAUAACUUCGGGAAACCGGAGCUAAUACCGGAGAAUAUAUUGAACCGCAUGGGUCAAUAGUGAGAGUCGGUUUUGGUGGCACUUCUAGAUGGUUCCGAGCCGUAUUAGGUAGUUGGUAAGGUAAAGGGUUACCAAGGCAACUAUGCGUAGACGAGCUGAGAGGCGGAUCGGCGACCUGGGAGCGGGGACACGGACCAGGCUCCUACGGGACGGAGCAGUAGCGAAUGGGACGCAACGGUCGAAAGUUUGACGGAGCAACGCCGCGUGAGAGAUGAAGGUCUUCGGAUCGUAAAACUGUGUUAUUAGUGAAGAACAAAUGUGUAAGUAACUAUGGACGUCUUGACGGUACCGAAUCAGAAAGCACCGGCUAACUACGUG
This 497-nucleotide ribosomal RNA is filed under the name uncultured bacterium. RNAcentral's name for it is "partial 16S ribosomal RNA". It matches the Rfam family "Bacterial small subunit ribosomal RNA", at positions 28 to 507 of the family's 1533-position model. The record is from RNAcentral.